Molecule: non-coding RNA, 69 nt
Organism: Klebsiella pneumoniae IS39
Lineage: Bacteria; Pseudomonadati; Pseudomonadota; Gammaproteobacteria; Enterobacterales; Enterobacteriaceae
Source: Rfam
ACAGUGCCACGGCCGUCUGAGCUAAGGUCUGAUAAAACAAACAAAGGCGCAGAGUUCUGCGCCUUUUUU